This 127-nucleotide non-coding RNA is filed under the name Microcebus murinus (gray mouse lemur). Lineage: Eukaryota; Metazoa; Chordata; Mammalia; Primates; Cheirogaleidae. The record is from RNAcentral.
CCUUUGUAUGAAAGCAGAGGAAGUCAGCACUCCCCUGAUAAGGGUGGAAGAGGCCCUUGGGCCUGACAACAUGUAAGUAGUUAAGGCAUAUUGCCACCUACUUCAUGGCAUCUAAACACUGUUUUUA